GAUCUUGGCUCAGGAUGAACGCUGGCGGCGUGCUUAACACAUGCAAGUCGAUCGGUGAACACGGAGCUUGCUCUGUGGGAUCAGUGGCGAACGGGUGAGUAACACGUGAGCAACCUGCCCCUGACUUUGGGAUAAGCCCUGGAAACGGCGUCUAAUACUGGAUACGAACAAGAAUCGCAUGGUUACUUGUUGGAAAGAUUUUUCGGUUGGGGAUGGGCUCGCGGCCUAUCAGCUUGUUGGUGAGGUAAUGGCUCACCAAGGCGUCGACGGGUAGCCGGCCUGAGAGGGUGACCGGCCACACUGGGACUGAGACACGGCCCAGACUCCUACGGGAGGCAGCAGUGGGGAAUAUUGCACAAUGGGCGAAAGCCUGAUGCAGCAACGCCGCGUGAGGGAUGACGGCCUUCGGGUUGUAAACCUCUUUUAGCAGGGAAGAAGCGAAAGUGACGGUACCGCAGAAAAAAGCGCCGGAUAA
This 475-nucleotide ribosomal RNA is filed under the name bacterium 4B-6. Its description in RNAcentral is "bacterial SSU rRNA". It matches the Rfam family "Bacterial small subunit ribosomal RNA", at positions 15 to 500 of the family's 1533-position model. The record is from RNAcentral.